RNAcentral lists this ribosomal RNA (253 nucleotides) under uncultured bacterium. RNAcentral's name for it is "partial 16S ribosomal RNA". It matches the Rfam family "Bacterial small subunit ribosomal RNA", at positions 524 to 776 of the family's 1533-position model. The record is from RNAcentral.
UACGUAGGGGGCAAGCGUUGUCCGGAUUUAUUGGGCGUAAAGAGCGUGUAGGCGGUUAGGUAGGUCCGUUGUGAAAACUCGAGGCUCAACCUCGAGACGCCGAUGGAAACCAUCUAACUAGAGUCCGGAAGAGGAGAGUGGAAUUCCUGGUGUAGCGGUGAAAUGCGCAGAUAUCGGGAAGAACACCUAUGGCGAAGGCAGCUCUCUGGGACGGUACUGACGCUGAGACGCGAAAGCGUGGGGAGCGAACAGG